GAUGAACGCUGGCGGCGUGCUUAACACAUGCAAGUCGAACGAAGCACUUUAACCUGAUUCUUCGGAUGAAGGUUUUUGUGACUGAGUUGCGGACGGGUGAGUAACGCGUGGGUAACCUGCCUCAUACAGGGGGAUAACAGUUAGAAAUGACUGCUAAUACCGCAUAAGACCACAGAGCCGCAUGGCUCGGUGGGAAAAACUCCGGUGGUAUGAGAUGGACCCGCGUCUGAUUAGGUAGUUGGUGGGGUAACGGCCUACCAAGCCAACGAUCAGUAGCCGACCUGAGAGGGUGACCGGCCACAUUGGGACUGAGACACGGCCCAAACUCCUACGGGAGGCAGCAGUGGGGAAUAUUGCACAAUGGGGGAAACCCUGAUGCAGCGACGCCGCGUGAGCGAAGAAGUAUUUCGGUAUGUAAAGCUCUAUCAGCAGGGAAGAAAAUGACGGUACCUGACGAAGAAGCACCGGCUAAAUACGUG
RNAcentral lists this ribosomal RNA (479 nucleotides) under uncultured bacterium. RNAcentral describes it as "partial 16S ribosomal RNA". It matches the Rfam family "Bacterial small subunit ribosomal RNA", at positions 28 to 507 of the family's 1533-position model. The record is from RNAcentral.